ACCCAUUUGCAAAAUGAACAGUAACAUAGGUUCAAACUCCAAGGGGAAAAGAGAAGAGAACGGUUGAUUGAGAUAACUCUGAGCACCCAUUACUACUUUUUGCAAAUCUUGAGAAAUCUUGGACGAGGGUUCCAAUCCACUUGCAGCAAUGACGACGCACCGUCUGCCCACCGAACUAACGACCGACAUCUUGCUGAGGUUGCCGGUGAAAUCCCUCUUGCGAUCCAAAUCCGUCUGCAAGAACUGGUAUGAUCUGAUCAAAAGCCCUGUUUUUAUCGCCACACAUCUGACCCAGUUCGCUCUCAACCCUGAUCACAAUUCCACCUCUCUCCUAGUAACCAGUUGCAAUUCUGUAACCGGAAACCAUGGAAUGUCUCUGAUUAUCAACGAUGGGUUUACUCAUGGACCCAUCAAUCUUGAUUUCCCUUUCUUGAAUAGGAGUAAGAAUCUUUGCAUUUGGGAGUUCACUGAGAAGAAAUAUUUCUCUGUUGUGGGUAUCUGUCAUGGCUUGGUUUGCAUAAAUUUGUCUCCCUUCGGGUAUCCCGUGAUCCUGUGCAAUCCCUUGACCAGAGAGUUUCGGGAAAUUCCGAAAUGCGAAUGGCUUCUUGAUUGUGAUUGUUAUGUGAAAGUUAAGUGGGUCGGUUUUGGGUUUGGUUUCCACCCCAGUGCUCGUGAUUACAAGUUGAUUCAGAUUACGCUAUGUUCUAGUCCCGUUCAGGAAGUCGUUAUCCGGGCCCAUCUUUAUGCGAUGGGGACUGAUACUUGGAGAGAAAUCGAUGUCGAUAAGGUUUCCGCGUUCUUUGGGGAGACGGAUGAUUUCGGGAGGAUUGGCAGCUUUGUGCGAAUUUAUGGAUCAUGUGCUUCGGCAGCCUUGAAUGGAGUUUUCUAUUGGCCGGCGCGUGUGAUGCCAACUGAUGAAGUGAUUGUUAUGUCCUUCGACAUGGGCGAGGAGGUGUUCAGAAGAAUAAGAACGCCCGUGUGGUUGGAUUGGAACAAUGAAACUAUGGACGAAUCAAUCGUUCAAGUCAGACGCACCCAUAAAUGGCAAUUUACGGAAUUGAAGGAUAAACUCACUCUAAUUAUUCAUCCUGAUGACACAAGCCUUGAUGUGUGGGUGUUGAAUGAAGACAAGAAUUCUUGGACUAACCAAUUCAAAGUUGGAUCUUUUCCAAGGAUUGCACGCAAUGUGAGAUCUCGGGGGAUUGCUAAAAUUACAGUGGUGGGAGGUGCGAAAAAUGGGGAAUUGGUUGUGGCGAACCAUAAAACUACCGGUGAUUUAGUGCUCUUUUCAUUUGAUCCAAUGACCGUGGAAACUAAGGAUCUUUACUUUGGUAGUGUCCCAUAUCCAUCUGAUAUUCAUUUGUAUUCGGGGGCGCUACUUCCAGUCAAGUUACCCGAUGAAGUUGUUCUUUAACGAGAAAAAAGAAGAAGGAAGCACUGAAUUCACGGAACUGACUAGGUGAGGGCUCAUGUUUCUUAUGCUUUCUCUGGUUAUUUUAGCUGCGGUAGCUUAACUAUGCCUCAUAGUAGUAUCUUUUGAAGCUUUGAUGUAUGUUUUUGGAAUGAAGUGGGUGAUCCUGGACUACAGCAAUUGAAUGUUGGGAUGCAUAUUUUGAAGUAUUGAAAGACAUAAAAAGAAUCUGGCGAUUGAAACCUCUUUUUGGAUCGUCCUGAAAAUGAAGUCAAGCACAACGAUUAGUCGUGCUUUGCAAGAGGAAACAAGGGAAAAUGUAGCACCCUGAAUUCAUGCAACAGACUCCCGUGUCACUCGCGGCUGUGAAUCUUGCUCGUUCUUAUUCGGGUAGUAUAGUAGUAUUCAUUGAAAAUUCAUCUUUUGUACAGUUUAUUACUACAAUGUUUCCCAUUACAAACCUGAAAGGAGAUUUUGGUUUUGUUUCAAUAAGAAUGCCAUUUGACUCAGUUGAGUAUCUAAGUUGAUUUAUAUAUAGAGGAGCCUAUGUUUCAUGUGAA
Molecule: RNA transcript, 1971 nt
Organism: Rhododendron vialii
Lineage: Eukaryota; Viridiplantae; Streptophyta; Magnoliopsida; Ericales; Ericaceae
Gene name: F-box/kelch-repeat protein At3g23880-like
Exons: 2
Source: RefSeq, a predicted model, not a curated record